This 274-nucleotide ribosomal RNA is filed under the name uncultured bacterium. RNAcentral's name for it is "partial 16S ribosomal RNA". It matches the Rfam family "Bacterial small subunit ribosomal RNA", at positions 523 to 796 of the family's 1533-position model. The record is from RNAcentral.
AUACGGAGGGUGCAAGCGUUACUCGGAAUCACUGGGCGUAAAGCGCGCGCAGGCGGCCAUUUAAGUUGGAUGUGAAAGCCUACGGCUUAACCGUAGAACUGCAUCCAAAACUAUUUGGCUAGAGUGUGGGAGAGGAAGAUGGAAUUAGUUGUGUAGGGGUAAAAUCCGUAGAGAUAACUAGGAAUACCAAAAGCGAAGGCAAUCUUCUGGAACACUACUGACGCUGAGGCGCGAAAGCGAGGGGAGCAAACGGGAUUAGAAACCCCAGUAGUCC